AGCAGCCGCGGUAAUUCCAGCUCCAAUAGCGUAUAUUAAAGUUGUUGCAGUUAAAAAGCUCGUAGUUGAAUUUUGGAUUCUUCCAAUUGGUCCAUCUUUUAGAUGAGUACUGGUUGUGUGGGGUCUAUCCGCCUGGUGAUACGUAAUGUCCUUUAUUGGAUGUUUCGGGUAGUCAGGACCUUUACCUUGAAAAAAAUUAGAGUGUUUAAAGCAGGCUUAUGCCGGAAUACAUUAGCAUGGAAUAAUAGAAUAGGACGAAGUUGUUUUAUUUUGUUGGUUUCUAGGACAACCGUAAUGAUUAAUAGGGAUAGUUGGGGGCAUUAGUAUUCAAUUGUCAGAGGUGAAAUUCUUGGAUUUAUUGAAGACUAACUACUGCGAAAGCAUUUGCCAAGGAUGUUUUCAUUAAUCAAGAACGAAAGUUAGGGGAUCGAAGACGAUCAGAUACCGUCGUAGUCUUAACCAUAAACUAUGCCGACUAGGGAUCGGGCGAUGUUGUUUCCAUGACUCGCUCGGCACCUUA
Molecule: unclassified non-coding RNA, 520 nt
Filed under: uncultured Glomus
Lineage: Eukaryota; Fungi; Glomeromycota; Glomeromycetes; Glomerales; Glomeraceae
Description: SSU rRNA
Rfam family: Eukaryotic small subunit ribosomal RNA
Source: RNAcentral